UUCCCAGACUCCUACGGGAGGCAGCAGUGAGGAAUAUUGGUCAAUGGCCGGAAGGCUGAACCAGCCAAGCCGCGUGAGGGAGGAAGGCGCAGAGCGUCGCAGACCUCUUUUGCCGGGGGACAAAAGGCCGGACGGGUCCGGUUCUGAGGGUACCCGGAGAAAAAGCAUCGGCUAACUCCGUGCCAGCAGCCGCGGUAAUACGGAGGAUGCGAGCGUUAUCCGGAUUUAUUGGGUUUAAAGGGUGCGCAGGCGGAAUGUCAAGUCAGCGGUAAAAUUUCGGGGCUCAACCCCGUCGUGCCGUUGAAACUGGCGUUCUUGAGUGAGCGAGAAGUAUGCGGAAUGCGUGGUGUAGCGGUGAAAUGCAUAGAUAUCACGCAGAACUCCGAUUGCGAAGGCAGCAUACCGGCGCUCAACUGACGCUCAUGCACGAAAGCGUGGGUAUCGAACAGGAUUAGAUACCCCAGUA
Molecule: ribosomal RNA, 466 nt
Filed under: uncultured bacterium
Lineage: Bacteria
Description: bacterial SSU rRNA
Rfam family: Bacterial small subunit ribosomal RNA
Source: RNAcentral